GAUGAAGAACGUAGCGAAAUGCGAUAAGUAAUGUGAAUUGCAGAAUUCAGUGAAUCAUCGAAUUUUUGAACGCACAUUGCGCCCCCUGGUAUUCCGGGGGGCAUGCCUGUUCGAGCGUCAUUUCACCACUCAAGCCUCGCUUGGUAUUGGGCAACGCGGUCCGCCGCGUGCCUCAAAUCGACCGGCUGGGUCUUCUGUCCCCUAAGCGUUGUGGAAACUAUUCGCUAAAGGGUGUUCGGGAGGCUACGCCGUAAAACAACCCCAUUUCUAAGGUUGACCUCGGAUCAGGUAGGGAUACCCGCUGAACUUAAGCAUAUCAAUAAGCGGAGGA
Molecule: unclassified non-coding RNA, 331 nt
Filed under: soil metagenome
Description: partial contains 5.8S ribosomal RNA, internal transcribed spacer 2, and large subunit ribosomal RNA
Rfam family: 5.8S ribosomal RNA (bases 1-120)
Source: RNAcentral